AUUGAACGCUGGCGGCAUGCUUUACACAUGCAAGUCGAACGGCAGCGCGGGCUUCGGCCUGGCGGCGAGUGGCGAACGGGUGAGUAAUGCAUCGGAACGUGCCCAGUAGUGGGGGAUAGCCCGGCGAAAGCCGGAUUAAUACCGCAUACGACCUGAGGGUGAAAGCGGGGGACCGAAAGGCCUCGCGCUAUUGGAGCGGCCGAUGUCGGAUUAGCUAGUUGGUGGGGUAAGGGCUUACCAAGGCGACGAUCCGUAGCUGGUCUGAGAAGACGACCAGCCACACUGGGACUGAGACACGGCCCAGACUCCUACGGGAGGCAGCAGUGGGGAAUUUUGGACAAUGGGGGCAACCCUGAUCCAGCCAUGCCGCGUGCGGGAAGAAGGCCUUCGGGUUGUAAACCGCUUUUGUUCGGGAAGAAAUCCUCUGGGCUAAUACCCCGGGGGGAUGACGGUACCGGAAGAAUAAGCACCGGCUAACUACGUG
This 484-nucleotide ribosomal RNA is filed under the name uncultured bacterium. RNAcentral describes it as "partial 16S ribosomal RNA". It matches the Rfam family "Bacterial small subunit ribosomal RNA", at positions 28 to 507 of the family's 1533-position model. The record is from RNAcentral.